AUGAUGCUGCAGUUCUGGUUAUGAGGCGUAUUCCCUUGGCCCAACUUUUAUUCUCGGGAAUCGUCCCUGUUAAGACCGUGGUCUUAAUAUUUACGAUGCCCACCUGGUUUAUUGGCCAGAGAGGAUCAAACUCAGACCGAUCAGGCGGCAUCAUU
Molecule: non-coding RNA, 155 nt
Filed under: Candidatus Finniella inopinata
Lineage: Bacteria; Pseudomonadati; Pseudomonadota; Alphaproteobacteria; Holosporales; Candidatus Paracaedibacteraceae
Description: 6S / SsrS RNA
Rfam family: 6S / SsrS RNA
About the family: E. coli 6S RNA was the first non coding RNA to be sequenced, but its function was unknown until recently.
Source: Rfam by way of RNAcentral